CCUACGGGUGGCAGCAGUGAGGAAUAUUGGUCAAUGGACGGAAGUCUGAACCAGCCAUGCCGCGUGCAGGAAGACGGCCCUAUGAGUUGUAAACUGCUUUUGUAUAAGGGUAAACCUGAAUACGUGUAUUCAGUUGCAAGUACCUUACGAAUAAGGAUCGGCUAACUCCGUGCCAGCAGCCGCGGUAAUACGGAGGAUCCAAGCGUUAUCCGGAUUUAUUGGGUUUAAAGGGUGCGUAGGCGGAUUGAUAAGUUAGUGGUGAAAUUUCCGAGCUUAACUCGGGAACUGCCUUUAAUACUGGUGUUCUAGAGAGUAGAUGCGGUAGGCGGAAUGUAUGGUGUAGCGGUGAAAUGCUUAGAGAUCAUACAGAACACCGAUUGCGAAGGCAGCUUACCAAUCUAUAUCUGACGUUGAGGCACGAAAGCGUGGGGAGCAAACAGGAUUAGAUACCCCAGUAGUC
RNAcentral lists this ribosomal RNA (460 nucleotides) under uncultured bacterium. RNAcentral describes it as "partial 16S ribosomal RNA". It matches the Rfam family "Bacterial small subunit ribosomal RNA", at positions 338 to 795 of the family's 1533-position model. The record is from RNAcentral.